Molecule: ribosomal RNA, 629 nt
Filed under: Thricops genarum
Lineage: Eukaryota; Metazoa; Arthropoda; Insecta; Diptera; Muscidae
Description: partial 12S ribosomal RNA
Source: RNAcentral
UAAAGAAUUUGGCGGUAUUUUAGUCUAUUCAGAGGAACUUGUUUUUUAAUCGAUAAUCCACGAUGGACCUUACUUAAAUUUGUAUUCAGUUUAUAUACCGUCGUUAUUAGAAUAUUUUAUAAGAAUGUUAAUUUUCAUAAUUUUUUAAAUAAAAAUAUAUCAGAUCAAGGUGUAGCUUAUAUUUAAGUAUAAAUGGGUUACAAUAAAAUUAUUUAUAUGGAUAUAAAUUUGAAAUGUUUAUUAAAAGUGGAUUUGAUAGUAAAUUUAUAAAGAUUAAUAAAUUGAUUUAUUUUAGCUCUAAAAUAUGUACAUAUCGCCCGUCACUCUUAUUAUUAAGGUAAGAUAAGUCGUAACAUAGUAGAUGUACUGGAAAGUGUAUCUAGAAUGCAAUUUAAAACUUAUUAAGUAAAGUAUUUCAUUUACAUUGAAAAAGAUUUUGUGCAAAUCAAUAUAAAUUGAUUUAUAUUUUAUUUAUUAAUUGUUUUUUUUUAAAAAUUUUUUAUUAAAAAUAAUUAUAAAAAGAUUUGUUUUAGUAUUUUAUAAAUAAAAAAUAAUUUAAAUUAUAGUGUAAUAGUAUUGUAAAAAAAAAUUGAAAUAAUUUGAAAAAUUAUUAUUAUAAAAGAAAAUUU